AUGAACGCUAGCGGCAGGCUUAAUACAUGCAAGUUGAGGGGCAGCAUGAUGUACGCGAGUAUAUUGAUGGCGACCGGCGGACGGGUGAGUAAUAGGUAGGAGACCUACCUCAUACAGGGGGAUAGCAUAGAGAAAUCUGUGGUAAUACCCCAUGAGGUUAUAUGAAUAGAGGCAUAUAAUCAAAGCAUAAGCGAUUAUGCGGUAUGAGAGGGGCCUACUGACCAUUAGCUAGUUGGUGAGGUAAGGGCUCACCAAGGCGAAGAUGGUUAGGGGUUUUGAGAGAGAGACCCCCCACAUUGGAACUGAGAGACGGUCCAGACUCCUACGGGAGGCAGCAGUAGGGAAUAUUGGGCAAUGGGCGAAAGCCUGACCCAGCCAUGCCGCGUGAAGGAAGACGGCCUUAUGGGUUGUAAACUUCUUUACUACGCGAAUAGAGGUUAGUACGAGAUACUAAUAGGAAGGUAGUGUAGUAAAAAGCACCGGCUAACUCCGUG
RNAcentral lists this ribosomal RNA (494 nucleotides) under uncultured bacterium. RNAcentral describes it as "bacterial SSU rRNA". It matches the Rfam family "Bacterial small subunit ribosomal RNA", at positions 30 to 507 of the family's 1533-position model. The record is from RNAcentral.